AUAUAAGCAAAUUUUACUUUUUAGAUUCAUUCAAUUAAUGAUGUAUGUGGUUUAUAAUAUGGACCACAUACAUCAUUAAUUGAAUGAACCUAAAGUAAAAUUUGCUUAUAU
MicroRNA precursor from Medicago truncatula (barrel medic), 111 nucleotides. It matches the Rfam family "MIR2593 microRNA precursor family". Lineage: Eukaryota; Viridiplantae; Streptophyta; Magnoliopsida; Fabales; Fabaceae. The record is from Rfam.